This 465-nucleotide ribosomal RNA is filed under the name uncultured bacterium. RNAcentral's name for it is "partial 16S ribosomal RNA". It matches the Rfam family "Bacterial small subunit ribosomal RNA", at positions 28 to 507 of the family's 1533-position model. The record is from RNAcentral.
GAUGAACGCUGGCGGCGUGCUUAACACAUGCAAGUCGAACGGAAAGGCUCCUGCUUGCAGGGGUACUCGAGUGGCGAACGGGUGAGUAACACGUGGGUGAUCUGCCCUGCACUUCGGGAUAAGCCUGGGAAACUGGGUCUGAUACCGGAUAGGACGAUGGUUUGGAUGCCAUUGUGGAAAGUUUUUCGGUGUGGGAUGAGCUCGCGGCCUAUCAGCUUGUUGGUGGGGUAAUGGCCUACCAAGGCGUCGACGGGUAGCCGGCCUGAGAGGGUGUACGGCCACAUUGGGACUGAGAUACGGCCCAGACUCCUACGGGAGGCAGCAGUGGGGAAUAUUGCACAAUGGGCGCAAGCCUGAUGCAGCGACGCCGCGUGGGGGAUGACGGCCUUCGGGUUGUAAACUCCUUUCGCUAGGGACGAAGCGCAAGUGACGGUACCUGGAGAAGAAGCACCGGCUAACUACGUG